GUGCUCAUGUUAGCAGCACAUAUUCUAAAACUGAAAUGAUAUAGAGAGGAUUAGCAUGACCUCUGUCCAAGAAUGACGGGUAGAUUUGUGAAGCAUUCCAGAUUUUC
RNAcentral lists this small nuclear RNA (107 nucleotides) under Sciurus vulgaris (Eurasian red squirrel). Lineage: Eukaryota; Metazoa; Chordata; Mammalia; Rodentia; Sciuridae. The record is from RNAcentral.